GUUGUCAAGAGCCUGGCACACAGGCCAGGGUAUCUCAAGAGCCUGGCACACAGGCCAGGGUAUCUCAAGAGCCUGGCACACAGGCCAAGGUAUCUCAAGAGCCUGGCACACAGGCCAGGGUAUCUCAAGAGCCUGGCACACAGGCCAGGGUAUCUCAAGAGCCUGGCACACAGGCCAGGGUAUCUCAAGAGCCUGGCACACAGGCCAGGGUAUCUCAAGAGCCUGGCACACAGGCCAGGGUAUCUCAAGAGCCUGGCACACAGGCCAGGGUAUCUCAAGAGCCUGGCACACAGGCCAGGGUAUCUCAAGAGCCUGGCACACAGGCCAGGGUAUCUCAAGAGCCUGGCACACAGGCCAGGGUAUCUCAAGAGCCUGGCACACAGGCCAGGGCAUAUCAAGAGCCAGACCAGA
Molecule: long non-coding RNA, 411 nt
Organism: Oncorhynchus keta (chum salmon)
Lineage: Eukaryota; Metazoa; Chordata; Actinopteri; Salmoniformes; Salmonidae
Exons: 3
Source: RefSeq, a predicted model, not a curated record